Molecule: ribosomal RNA, 257 nt
Filed under: Streptomyces rimosus
Lineage: Bacteria; Bacillati; Actinomycetota; Actinomycetes; Kitasatosporales; Streptomycetaceae
Description: partial 23S ribosomal RNA
Rfam family: Bacterial large subunit ribosomal RNA (bases 93-257)
Source: RNAcentral
GAAGCGCCAAACAUCGAAUCCUCUGAUGCUAAGGCCGUGAAGCCGCCCUGAGCUCUUCGGAGCGUAGGGGAGUGGUGGAGCCGCUGAUCCAAGGUGGUAGUAGGUGAGUGAUGGGGUGACGCAGGAAGGUAGUCCAGCCCGGGCGGUGGUUGUCCCGGGGUAAGGGUGUAGCCCGUCAUCCAGGCAAAUCCGGAUGGCACAUAAGGGUGAGACCUGAUGCCGAGCCGAUUGUGGUGAAGUGGAUGAUCCUAUGCUGU